This 922-nucleotide long non-coding RNA is filed under the name Marmota monax (woodchuck). The record is from RNAcentral. Lineage: Eukaryota; Metazoa; Chordata; Mammalia; Rodentia; Sciuridae.
CAAUAAUCCUAUGAGGUAGGGAUACUAGUGGCCUCAUCUUGCAGACUAGGGAACUAGACCUAGAGAGAAGAGCUGUUUACCUGAGAUCAAUUAUGCCAGGCACAGAGGUAUACUUGCCUGUAAUCCCAGAGAAUUGGGAGGCUGAGACAAAAGGAUUGAAAGUUUGAGACCAGUCUCAGCAAUGUAGCAAGGUCUUAAGCAAUUUAGUGAGACCCUGUCUCAAAAUAAAAAAUAAAAAGGGCUAGGGAUGUGGUUCAGUGGUAAAGCACCCCUGGGUUCAAUUCCUGAUGCAAAAAACAAAACAAAACCCAAAACUAAUUAUAGAUAGCAAAGCCAGAUUGGAGUCCGAGUGCCCUAUUACACAAAGUGGGCAAAGAUCAGAAUUUGAGAACAGGACUGGUUGUAGGUGUGCAUUUCUGUAAUCCCAGCAGUUCAGGAGGUUGAGGCAAGAGGACUGGAAAUUCAAAGCCAGCCUCAGCAAUUUAGUAGGCCCUAAGCAACCUAGUGAGACCCUGUCUCAAAAUAAAACAUAAAAGGGCUGGGAACUUAGCUCAGUGGUUAAGUGCCCCUGGGUUCAAUCCCUGGUACCAAAAAAAAAAAAAAAAAAAAAGAAUUUGGGAACAGGAACAGAUAGAGUGGCACAUGCCUAGAGGGAGGCUAGGACAAGAGGAUUAAGACCAGACCCUGUCUCAAAAUAAAAUCAAAAAGGGCUGGGGAUGUAGCUCAAUGGGAGAGAGUUUGGUAGUAUGUGUAAGGCCCUGGGUUCAAUCCCCAGUAUAGGAGAAGGAGAAGGGGAAAGCAUUUGGGAGCAGGGCAGGCAGCUGGGACUGUCUGUCAGUGGAGGCCAAGGAAUGUGCAGUCACAAAGCCAAGAUUCUGGAAGCUACUGAAGCAUUUCCAACUUUAAACUGCAAAGUCAGAAC